UACAGAGGUCUCAAGCGUUGUUCGGAUUCAUUGGGCGUAAAGGGCGCGUAGGCGGCCUGCUAAGUCGAACGUGAAAUCCCUGGGCUCAACCCAGGAACUGCGUCCGAUACUGGUUGGCUUGAAUCCGGGAGAGGGACGUGGAAUUCCAGGUGUAGCGGUGAAAUGCGUAGAUAUCUGGAGGAACACCGGUGGCGAAGGCGACGUCCUGGACCGGUAUUGACGCUGAGGAACGAAAGCCAGGGGAGCAAACGGG
This 253-nucleotide ribosomal RNA is filed under the name uncultured bacterium. Its description in RNAcentral is "partial 16S ribosomal RNA". It matches the Rfam family "Bacterial small subunit ribosomal RNA", at positions 524 to 776 of the family's 1533-position model. The record is from RNAcentral.